AUUGAACGCUGGCGGAAUGCCUAACACAUGCAAGUCGAGCGGGGUGUAGCAAUACACCUAGCGGCGGACGGGUGAGCAAUACAUAGGAAUCUACCUUUCAGUGGGGGAUAGCCCGGGGAAACCCGGAUUAAUACCGCAUGAUGUCGCAAGACCAAAGCGGGGGACCGUAAGGCCUCGCGCUGAAAGAUGAGCCUAUGUCUGAUUAGCUAGUUGGCGGGGUAAAAGCCCACAAGGCUACGAUCAGUAGCUGGUUUGAGAGAACGAUCAGCCACACCGGAACUGAGACACGGUCCGGACUCCUACGGGAGGCAGCAGUGGGGAAUAUUGGACAAUGGGCGAAAGCCUGAUCUAGCAAUUCCGCGUGUGUGAAGAAGGCCUGGUGUAAG
RNAcentral lists this ribosomal RNA (386 nucleotides) under uncultured bacterium. Its description in RNAcentral is "bacterial SSU rRNA". It matches the Rfam family "Bacterial small subunit ribosomal RNA", at positions 30 to 429 of the family's 1533-position model. The record is from RNAcentral.